GAUGAACGCUGGCGGCGUGCUUAACACAUGCAAGUCGAACGGAAAGGCCCAAGCUUGCUUGGGUACUCGAGUGGCGAACGGGUGAGUAACACGUGGGUGAUCUGCCCUGCACUUCGGGAUAAGCCUGGGAAACUGGGUCUAAUACCGGAUAGGACGAUGGUUUGGAUGCCAUUGUGGAAAGUUUUUUCGGUGUGGGGUGGGCUGGGGGCGUAUCCGCUUGUUGGGGGGGUAGUGGCCUACCAAGGCGUCGACGGGGAGCCGGCCUGAGAGGGUGUAGGGCCGGACUGGGAUCGUGAGAGAGGCCAGACUCGGGCGGGAUGGAGAAGGGGGGAAAAUUGGACAAAGGGCGACAGCCUGAGGGAGCGAGGCCGCGGGGGGGAUGACGGCCUUCGGGUUGUAAACUACUUUCGCUAGGGACGAAGCGUUUUUGUGACGGUACCUGGAGAAGAAGCACCGGCUAACUACGUG
RNAcentral lists this ribosomal RNA (468 nucleotides) under uncultured bacterium. RNAcentral's name for it is "partial 16S ribosomal RNA". It matches the Rfam family "Bacterial small subunit ribosomal RNA", at positions 28 to 507 of the family's 1533-position model. The record is from RNAcentral.